GCGCUUGCUUUGGUAGCACAUAUACUAAAAUUGGAAUGAUGCAGAGAAGAUUAGCACGGCCCCUGCACAAGGAUGACACGCAGAUUUGCGAAGCGUUCCAUAUUUUU
Molecule: small nuclear RNA, 107 nt
Organism: Nycticebus coucang (slow loris)
Lineage: Eukaryota; Metazoa; Chordata; Mammalia; Primates; Lorisidae
Source: RefSeq, a predicted model, not a curated record